This 495-nucleotide ribosomal RNA is filed under the name uncultured bacterium. RNAcentral's name for it is "partial 16S ribosomal RNA". It matches the Rfam family "Bacterial small subunit ribosomal RNA", at positions 28 to 507 of the family's 1533-position model. The record is from RNAcentral.
GACGAACGCUGGCGGCGUGCCUAAUACAUGCAAGUCGAACGCUGAAGGAGGAGCUUGCUUCUCUGGAUGAGUUGCGAACGGGUGAGUAACGCGUAGGUAACCUGCCUGGUAGCGGGGGAUAACUAUUGGAAACGAUAGCUAAUACCGCAUAAUAGUAGAUGUCGCAUGACAUUUGCUUAAAAGGUGCAAUUGCAUCACUACCAGAUGGACCUGCGUUGUAUUAGCUAGUUGGUGAGGUAACGGCUCACCAAGGCAACGAUACAUAGCCGACCUGAGAGGGUGAGCGGCCACACUGGGACUGAGACACGGCCCAGACGCCUACGGGAGGCAGCAGGAGGGAAUCUUCGGCAAUGGACGGAAGUCUGACCGAGCAACGCCGCGUGAGUGAAGAAGGGUUUCGGAUCGUAAAGCUCUGUUGUAAGAGAAGAACGAGUGUGAGAGUGGAAAGUUCACACUGUGACGGUAUCUUACCAGAAAGAGACGGCUAACUACGUG